AUGCCUAACCUAACGCCUUCCCUUCCCUUUUUUUUGCCCCAAAUCGGAAACCCACCUCGCCUGAUCCACCAUUCCACCUCCGGUGACCGGCCUUCCACGACUCCACCUCUGCUCUAACGGUGCUUCCAGCGAAUCUAGCCUUCAACAUCUUCUACCUUUGAAUUUCAAAGAAACAAGCUAUUGAGGCAAAAAAAUAGCGGGCCCAGUCAGGUUGCUAUCACAAGGCUAGCGUAGUUAAAUAACUAGUUUAUUAUCUCGUGCAAUAUAUGAGUUCGGUAUUAUACUAUUAUGUAAUAUGUAUUUAUUUUUAUAUGAAAAUGGUCGAAUAUCAUUUUAUCCC
Molecule: long non-coding RNA, 340 nt
Organism: Gossypium raimondii (Peruvian cotton)
Lineage: Eukaryota; Viridiplantae; Streptophyta; Magnoliopsida; Malvales; Malvaceae
Exons: 2
Source: RefSeq, a predicted model, not a curated record